CAGCAGCCGCGGUAAUACAGAGGGUGCAAGCGUUAAUCGGAAUUACUGGGCGUAAAGCGCGCGUAGGUGGUUUGUUAAGUUGGAUGUGAAAGCCCCGGGCUCAACCUGGGAACUGCAUUUGAAACUGGCAGGCUAGAGUCUUGUAGAGGGGGGUAGAAUUCCAGGUGUAGCGGUGAAAUGCGUAGAGAUCUGGAGGAAUACCGGUGGCGAAGGCGGCCCCCUGGACAAAGACUGACGCUCAGGUGCGAAAGCGUGGGGAGCAAACAGGAUUAGAUACCCCUGUAGUCCCUGUCUCUUAUAC
RNAcentral lists this ribosomal RNA (301 nucleotides) under uncultured bacterium. Its description in RNAcentral is "partial 16S ribosomal RNA". It matches the Rfam family "Bacterial small subunit ribosomal RNA", at positions 509 to 807 of the family's 1533-position model. The record is from RNAcentral.